Schistocerca americana (American grasshopper) is the source of this 450-nucleotide long non-coding RNA. RefSeq lists it as uncharacterized. NCBI's taxonomy places the organism in Eukaryota, Metazoa, Arthropoda, Insecta, Orthoptera, Acrididae. The transcript has 2 exons. The record is from RefSeq and is a predicted model, not a curated record.
CUGAUUCGAAGAAAGGAAUUAGUACCGCGUGUUGUACAAUGCUGCCAACAGGUAUUCAAAAAUAGACGAUCGACGUGUAUCCGCAAGUACCGUUGUAUCUCCAAUACAGCAACCGCACCUUUAUUUUUAAAUACCCUUGAUAUUUAAAUCGAAAAUAUAAGCUAAUUCGAAAAAGCCACAGCCCAACUGAUAAAAAUCUAUUCUAGACGUGUGACUUAUCAGAUGGGUGGAGUCGUUUUGUAAGUACGGGACAAGUCAACUGUGAGUACGCUAAGUUCAUAAUUUCCGAGAAAAAGAAGAUACUACUGAGGGCGUUGUGGAACUGCUGUUUAUGUUUCUUAGAAUAGUUAGACCAUACGUAUACACGAUAACUGUUUAUGGGACUGAGACCCAAUGAGAAAACAAUGUUUGUAAAUAUGCAGCGGGAAUAAAAGUAAUUUACACCAUCGA